UCGACACCUAAGAUAAGUAUUUUCUGCUCUGCGUAUACCGUCUGUUCGGAAAAAAAACGUCCAGGUUCAUAGGUGCCUUAGUUUUUCAAUGUUUUCUCGACGUUUCAUUGUGCCUUGAGUAUGAACAAGUACCCGUUUCUGCCUAUCUGUCGUUUGUUCAUGAUUUUAUUAAAACAAGUAAUUUUAGGAACAUCGUGUAGAUAGUAAAUGCUAAAUAAAAGUUGUCUGAUCGCCCCCA
Molecule: long non-coding RNA, 238 nt
Organism: Zophobas morio
Lineage: Eukaryota; Metazoa; Arthropoda; Insecta; Coleoptera; Tenebrionidae
Exons: 2
Source: RefSeq, a predicted model, not a curated record